Molecule: ribosomal RNA, 305 nt
Filed under: uncultured bacterium
Lineage: Bacteria
Description: bacterial SSU rRNA
Rfam family: Bacterial small subunit ribosomal RNA
Source: RNAcentral
UCGAGCCUACGGGGCGCAGCAGUCGGGAAUAUUGCGCAAUGGAGGAAACUCUGACGCAGUGACGCCGCGUAUAGGAAGAAGGUCUUCGGAUUGUAAACUAUUGUCGUUAGGGAAGAAAAAGGACAGUACCUAAGGAGGAAGCUCCGGCUAACUACGUGCCAGCAGCCGCGGUAAUACGUAGGGAGCAAGCGUUAUCCGGAUUUAUUGGGUGUAAAGGGUGCGUAGCCGGGAAUUUAAGUUAGUUGUGAAAUCCAUCGGCUCAACUGAGGAACUGCAACUAAAACUGGCUUUCUUGAGUGCUGGAG